AGAGUUUGAUCCUGGCUCAGGACGAACGCUGGCGGCGUGCUUAACACAUGCAAGUCGAACGAUGAUGCCCUGCUUGCAGGGUGGAUUAGUGGCGAACGGGUGAGUAACACGUGGGUGAUCUGCCUCGUACUUCGGGAUAAGCCUGGGAAACUGGGUCUAAUACCGGAUAGGACCUUCCUUUAGUGUGGAAGGUGGAAAGUUUUUUCGGUACGAGAUGAGCCCGCGGCCUAUCAGCUUGUUGGUGGGGUAAUGGCCUACCAAGGCGACGACGGGUAGCCGGCCUGAGAGGGUGUACGGCCACAUUGGGACUGAGACACGGCCCAAACUCCUACGGGAGGCAGCAGUGGGGAAUCUUGCGCAAUGGGCGAAAGCCUGAUGCAGCGACGCCGCGUGGGGGAUGACGGCCUUCGGGUUGUAAACCCCUUUCGCUAGGGAAGAAGCCACUUUGUGGUGACGGUACCCGGAUAAGAAGCGCCGGCUAACUACGUGCCAGCAGCCGCGGUAAU
Molecule: ribosomal RNA, 506 nt
Filed under: uncultured bacterium
Lineage: Bacteria
Description: bacterial SSU rRNA
Rfam family: Bacterial small subunit ribosomal RNA
Source: RNAcentral